UAGCUCAGUGGUUUGAGCGCGGUGCUGGCAGCACCGAGGUUGUGGUUUCGAUUCCCGC
This 58-nucleotide transfer RNA is filed under the name Apaloderma vittatum (bar-tailed trogon). It matches the Rfam family "tRNA", at positions 8 to 63 of the family's 71-position model. Rfam says of the family: Transfer RNA (tRNA) molecules are approximately 80 nucleotides in length. The record is from Rfam by way of RNAcentral. Lineage: Eukaryota; Metazoa; Chordata; Aves; Trogoniformes; Trogonidae.